AACGAACGCUGGCGGCAUGCCUAACACAUGCAAGUCGAACGAGACCUUCGGGUCUAGUGGCGCACGGGUGCGUAACGCGUGGGAACCUGCCCUUAGGUUCGGAAUAACUCCCCGAAAGGGGUGCUAAUACCGGAUAAUGUCUUCGGACCAAAGAUUUAUCGCCUUUGGAUGGGCCCGCGUUGGAUUAGCUAGUUGGUAGGGUAAAAGCCUACCAAGGCGACGAUCCAUAGCUGGUCUGAGAGGAUGAUCAGCCACACUGGGACUGAGACACGGCCCAGACUCCUACGGGAGGCAGCAGUUGGGAAUAUUGGACAAUGGGCGAAAGCCUGAUACAGCAAUGCCGCGUGAGUGAUGAAGGCCUUAGGGUUGUAAAGCUCUUUUACCCGGGAUGAUAAUGACAGUACCGGGAGAAUAAGCUCCGGCUAACUCCGUG
This 433-nucleotide ribosomal RNA is filed under the name uncultured bacterium. Its description in RNAcentral is "partial 16S ribosomal RNA". It matches the Rfam family "Bacterial small subunit ribosomal RNA", at positions 29 to 507 of the family's 1533-position model. The record is from RNAcentral.